UCGAUAUUAUAUUAAUAAAUUUAAUUUCACAGUAACUGCUCCCGUGUUAGACUGGACCAUGCUCAAUCCUACCAAUCAUAACGAUACGGGUAGAAAUAAGAAAAGUUAUGGAUAAUAAUAUUAUAGCCGAACAGCCAAAAUCUAUAAAGGGUAAGUUAGUCAUAUCGAUAUUGAUAAAAUCCAGAUUCAAUGCAUAUCUAUCGGACUAGGCUUUCUUUUCGCCAAGGAAUCCCAAUGCAAUUAAUGCAUAAUCUUUUACUCUACCUGCCUAGAUAAACAGCUUCCUUCCCUCUAUCUCCUAUAUCCAUUUCUUUGUUUCCUUUCAUUUUCACACAUUCACUGUACCGUUUCCCUUAUAUUGAAAAUGUCCCAAAAAGCAAGUCGCCACCAAAGGAGGCCCUCACAAAGCGUGUUCAUGCUCCCAGAUGACCUUGCAGCUACUCUGCCGGGGGACAAGGCUGCUCCGCCGUCGAGUCAGGUUAUGCCACCGCUGAAACAAGGUCCUGGUUUGCCACCGGCGAAUAAGUCAUCGGAUGAAAUGUGUCAGGAUCCCAAGAGCAAGAAAGCAUUGGAUGGGGAAUCAAUGAAGGGUUAAGUUGCUAAGUAUUAUAUUAGUCUGGUUAUUACUGUUGUUGUGAUUUUUUAUGUACGGAUAAAAAUAAGAUAUAAAUUAAUGGAUGCAUCAAUGCAUAAGCGAUCAAAGUUUCCUAUAUAUAUAUAUAUAUAUUACCCACAUCAAAGUUCUCCCUUUUCUUUUUGCUUAAAAUAAUAAAAAGGAAAAAGAGUUUACGUUUAAAGAUCAAGUGAUGUAUCACGCGACUGGAUUAUAUCUUCUUUAUGAUUUUGGCUUAUCAUGACUCAAGAUCGACAAGUCAGUCACGCAUUAACCUCAUGCUUAUAACUUAUACUAAUAUAUUGGGUGAGGCCCUAGAAG
This 934-nucleotide long non-coding RNA is filed under the name Panax ginseng (ginseng). RNAcentral describes it as "long non-coding RNA (PGIN_LNC017176)". Lineage: Eukaryota; Viridiplantae; Streptophyta; Magnoliopsida; Apiales; Araliaceae. The record is from RNAcentral.